RNAcentral lists this ribosomal RNA (484 nucleotides) under uncultured bacterium. RNAcentral's name for it is "partial 16S ribosomal RNA". It matches the Rfam family "Bacterial small subunit ribosomal RNA", at positions 30 to 507 of the family's 1533-position model. The record is from RNAcentral.
AUUGAACGCUGGCGGCAUGCCUUACACAUGCAAGUCGAACGGCAGCGCGGACUUCGGUCUGGCGGCGAGUGGCGAACGGGUGAGUAAUACAUCGGAACGUACCCUGUUGUGGGGGAUAACUAGUCGAAAGAUUAGCUAAUACCGCAUACGACCUGAGGGUGAAAGUGGGGGAUCGCAAGGCCCCACGCAGCAGGAGCGGCCGAUGUCUGAUUAGCUAGUUGGUGGGGUAAAGGCCCACCAAGGCGACGAUCAGUAGCUGGUCUGAGAGGACGAUCAGCCACACUGGGACUGAGACACGGCCCAGACUCCUACGGGAGGCAGCAGUGGGGAAUUUUGGACAAUGGGGGCAACCCUGAUCCAGCAAUGCCGCGUGUGUGAAGAAGGCCUUCGGGUUGUAAAGCACUUUUGUCCGGAAAGAAAUCGCGCUGGUUAAUACCUGGCGUGGAUGACGGUACCGGAAGAAUAAGCACCGGCUAACUACGUG